Molecule: ribosomal RNA, 389 nt
Filed under: uncultured cyanobacterium
Lineage: Bacteria; Bacillati; Cyanobacteriota
Description: bacterial SSU rRNA
Rfam family: Bacterial small subunit ribosomal RNA
Source: RNAcentral
UCUAGUGGCGGACGGGUGAGUAACGCGUGAGAAUUUACCUCUAGGAGGGGAACAACAGUUAGAAAUGACUGCUAAUGCCCCAUAUGCUUUAUAGUGAAACGGAUUCGUCCGCCUGGAGCAAAGCUCGCGUCUGAUUAGCUAGUUGGUAAGGUAAUAGCUUACCAAGGCGACGAUCAGUAGCUGGUUUGAGAGGAUGAUCAGCCACACUGGAACUGAGACACGGUCCAGACUCCUACGGGAGGCAGCAGUGGGGAAUUUUCUGCAAUGGGCGAAAGCCUGACAGAGCAAUACCGCGUGAGGGAUGAAGGCCUGUGGGUCGUAAACCUCUUUUUUCAAGGAGGAAGUUCUGACGUGUACUUGAAGAAUAAGCGUCGGCUAACUCCGUGCCA